Molecule: long non-coding RNA, 142 nt
Organism: Eurytemora carolleeae
Lineage: Eukaryota; Metazoa; Arthropoda; Copepoda; Calanoida; Temoridae
Exons: 3
Source: RefSeq, a predicted model, not a curated record
AAGAACAAAAUCUAUUUUUCGGUUGUAUAACGGAAAUUGACAGUGAAUAUCAUUUUAUUUGUGUCUUCUAGCAGGUCUGAGCUGAGCGCUGAGAAGAUCUGAGCUGGGAAUCAAAGAUGUUUCUCGCUGAGGCUGUGCCAAC